Pezoporus occidentalis (night parrot) is the source of this 939-nucleotide long non-coding RNA. RefSeq lists it as uncharacterized. The transcript is spliced from 2 exons. The record is from RefSeq and is a predicted model, not a curated record. NCBI's taxonomy places the organism in Eukaryota, Metazoa, Chordata, Aves, Psittaciformes, Psittacidae.
AAGGCCCCUUUUGAACAGGAUGGGACCCUCCAAAAUGCCCAUUUGUAUCUGCAGCUUUCUUUGCACUCCCCACAGGCUGCUGUCAUAUGAAUGCUGCAACAUAGGGAGCAGGCUGCACAUGAGGGUUUCUCUGAAUUAAUUUUGGUUUUGAUUUCCUGCCUUUGAACUGCCUUUUGCUUGAGGUGAACUGGGUAGCAAUGCUGUAGCGACGAGUAGAGAAGGCUGAUCUGUGUGCUUAGUAGUUUCCUUCUCCUCUCCUCUCCAAGACCUGUUUUGCCUGCUUUGUAUUAGGAUCUGAAUGUCCUUGUUUUCUCCCAAAGCAUCCUAGCAGAGUCAUGGGAUGUGUUAUGGCAAAUGCAAAACCCAAUAGUCAUUGAGCCUUUGAUAAUCUCUGUUCUGCAGAAGUAAGCUUUCAGUCAUCUGCUUCUCCACGAGGGAGGUGGUGUAGUGUGUGGACCCUGCUAGCUGGUGGAAAAGCUUCUGGCUUCUUCUUAAACCUGUGUGUGCUCUCAGCCUUUGAAUUUCUGUUUGACACAAGUCUCUGGCAGGAUUGAUGGAGUGCAUGAAGCUUUUUCCAGUAUGUCAGAGGGGUCUCUGACAGAGCUGAUCUUCCUAAUUCUCUAGUGACACCAGGGAUGACAGAUGAUACUCAGAGGAACCCCUUCUUCAGUGGCAGCCAUAGUGACCUUCAGUGCAGUCCUGCAGUGCAGAGUCACAGGGCACGGCAGAGCCAGCCAUACUCCUCGUGUGGCCCUAGCUACCCAGCAGUCCUGUGGAUGGCACAAGGGGCAGAGCUGAAGCUGCCCUGCUUCUUGAGGAGCUACUCAGAGCGACUGGGUUUUAUAAACGAUGCUCCACAAAUACACUGCAUCUCAAGCUUGACAUCUGUUCUGUUUGGCCUUAAGUAUUGGUUACAAUAAUACAGAGAUUUAGUAAAUG